AUACGGAGGAUCCGAGCGUUAUCCGGAUUUAUUGGGUUUAAAGGGUGCGCAGGCGGGAGAUUAAGUCGGCGGUGAAAUUUUGCAGCCCAACUGUAAAAGUGCCUUCGGAACUGGUUUCCUUGAGUGUAGAUGAAGUAGGCGGAAUUUGUGGUGUAGCGGUGAAAUGCAAAGAUAUCACGAGGAAAUCCGAUUGCGCAGGCAGCUUACUAAACUACUACUGACGCUCAGGCACGAAGGCGUGGGGAUCAAACAGGAUUAGAUACCCUGGUAGUCCACGCAGUAAACGAUGAUUACUGGCUGUUUGCGAUACAAUGUAAGCGGCUGAGCGAAAGCGUUAAGUAAUCCACCUGGGGAGUACGUUCGCAAGAAUGAAACUCAAAUGAAUUGACGGGG
This 393-nucleotide ribosomal RNA is filed under the name uncultured bacterium. Its description in RNAcentral is "partial 16S ribosomal RNA". It matches the Rfam family "Bacterial small subunit ribosomal RNA", at positions 523 to 918 of the family's 1533-position model. The record is from RNAcentral.